AGAGUUUGAUCCUGGCUCAGGAUGAACGCUGGCGGCGUGCUUAACACAUGCAAGUCGAACGAACCUUCGGGUUAGUGGCGGACGGGUGAGUAACGCGUGAGAAUCUGCCCUCAGGAGGGGGAUAACAGUUGGAAACGACUGCUAAUACCCCAUAUGCCGAGAGGUGAAAUGAAUUUCGCCUGGGGAUGAGCUCGCGUCUGAUUAGCUUGUUGGUGGGGUAAUAGCCUACCAAGGCUUCGAUCAGUAGCUGGUCUGAGAGGACGAUCAGCCACACUGGGACUGAGACACGGCCCAGACUCCUACGGGAGGCAGCAGAGGGGAAUUUUCCGCAAUGGGCGAAAGCCUGACGGAGCAACGCCGCGUGAGGGAUGGAGGCCUUUGGGCUGUAAACCUCUUUUCUCAAGGAAGAAGAUCUGACGGUACUUGAGGAAUAAGCCACGGCUAAUUCCGUGCCAGCAGCCGCGGUAAUACGGGAGUGGCAAGCGUUAUCCGGAAUUAUUGGGCGUAAAGCGUCCGCAGGCGGCCGUUUAAGUCUGUUGUUAAAUCGUGGAGCUCAACUCCAUCACGGCAAUGGAAACUGUUCGGCUUGAGUAUGGUAGGGGCAGAGGGAAUUUCCGGUGUAGCGGUGAAAUGCGUAGAUAUCGGGAAGAACACCAGUGGCGAAAGCGCUCUGCUGGGCCAUUACUGACGCUCAUGGACGGAAGCCAGGGGAGCGAAAGGGAUUAGAUACCCCUGUAGUCCUGGCCGUAAACGAUGAACACUAGAUGUUGGGGGAAUCGACCCCCUCGGUGUCGUAGCUAACGCGUUAAGUGUUCCGCCUGGGGAGUACGCACGCAAGUGUGAAACUCAAAGGAAUUGACGGGGGCCCGCACAAGCGGUGGAGUAUGAGGUUUAAUUCGAUGCAACGCGAAGAACCUUACCAAGGCUUGACAUCCUGCGAAUCUCUAAGAAGUUAGAGAGUGCCUUCGGGAACGCAGUGACAGGUGGUGCAUGGCUGUCGUCAGCUCGUGUCGUGAGAUGUUGGGUUAAGUCCCGCAACGAGCGCAACCCACGUUUUUAGUUGCCAGCAUUCAGUUGGGCACUCUAGAAAGACUGCCGGUGACAAACCGGAGGAAGGUGUGGACGACGUCAAGUCAUCAUGCCCCUUACGCCUUGGGCUACACACGUACUACAAUGCUGCGGACAAAGAGUAGCGAUCUUGCGAAAGUUAGCUAAUCUCAUAAACCGUGGCUCAGUUCAGAUCGUAGGCUGCAACUCGCCUACGUGAAGGAGGAAUCGCUAGUAAUCGCAGGUCAGCAUACUGCGGUGAAUACGUUCCCGGGCCUUGUACACACCGCCCGUCACACCAUGGAAGUUGGCCAUGCCCGAAGUCGUUACUCUAACCUUUUGGAAGAGGGCGCCGAAGGCAGGGCUAAUGACUGGGGUGAAGUCGUAACAAGGUAACC
This 1445-nucleotide ribosomal RNA is filed under the name uncultured bacterium. RNAcentral describes it as "bacterial SSU rRNA". It matches the Rfam family "Bacterial small subunit ribosomal RNA". The record is from RNAcentral.